CCUACGGGAGACAGCAGUGAGGAAUAUUGGUCAAUGGGCGCGAGCCUGCACCAGCCAAGUAGCGUGAAGGAUGACUGCCCUACGGGUUGUACACUUCUUUUAUAAAGGAAUAAAGUGAGGCACGUGUGCCUUUUUGUCUGUACUUUAUGAAUAAGGAUCGGCUAACUCCGUGCCAGCAGCCGCGGUAAUACGGAGGAUCCGAGCGUUAUCCGGAUUUAUUGGGUGUAAAGGGAGCGUAGAUGGGUUGUUAAGUCAGUUGUGAAAGUUUGCGGCUCAACCGUAAAAUUGCAAUUGAUACUGGCAGUCUUGAGUACAGUUGAGGUAGGCGGAAUUCGUGGUGUAGCGGUGAAAUGCUGAGAUAUAACGAAGAACACCGAUUGCGAAGGCAGCUUACUAAACUGCCACUGACAUUGAUGCUCGAAAGUGUGGGGAUCAAACAGGAUUAGAUACCCCUGUAGUC
This 460-nucleotide ribosomal RNA is filed under the name uncultured bacterium. RNAcentral's name for it is "partial 16S ribosomal RNA". It matches the Rfam family "Bacterial small subunit ribosomal RNA", at positions 338 to 795 of the family's 1533-position model. The record is from RNAcentral.